AUGGGAGAUAUAACAGAUUCUUCUAAUUCUCGGCCUCUUGUAUCUCUUCCAGCCAAUUCCAAUCAUCAUCAUGAUUUGAUGAAUGUCCAGUUGUUGCCAACUAAGCUUGAUGGCACCAAUUAUCUGGCUUGGUCUCAUUUUGUGAGAUUAUAUAUUACUGGUAAAGGUCGGAUUGGAUAUUUGACUGGAGAGAAGAAGCAACCAGAUAAUACUGACCUAAAGUUCAUAACUUGGGUUGAAGAAGAUGCUAUGCUUAGAUCAUGGCUUCUCCAGGCUAUGACCCCGGAUAUUAGUCUUGGCUAUAUGCGUCUCGACUCCGCUCAUGCGAUAUGGGAUGCGGUUUCUCAAACCUAUUCUGAGGGAGGUUGUGAUGCCCAGAUUUAUGAAUUGAAACGUCGGAUCCAAGCCACUACUCAGCAAGGUAAGACGUUGGAGACAUACUUUAAUUCACUCCAAGCUUUAUGGCAGGAACUUGAUUAUUACCAGCCGUGCGACAUGAAGUGCUCUAAUGAUACUGCUGCGUUAAAAAAACGGAUCGAGAAGGAACGUACUUUUGAGUUCUUGGCUGGUCUUACUCCGGAUUUGGAUCAAGUGAGAACACAGGUGCUUGGAAAGGAUCCUUUUCCCUCUUUGCGUGAAGCCUAUGCAUACGUGCGUGCCCAAGCUCUCCGCCGAUCUGCUAUGGUUAUGCCACCCUCUUUAGAAGGGUCUGCCUUGAUUUCUACAGCAAACCAUUUGGCUUGGGCACCACCAGUACAUCAAUCUAGUUCUUCAGCUGCUGUCUCAUCUAGUAAUGUUGCUAAGAGUUCGAAAUCUGAUGAUAAGGAUGCUUUGAAAUGUGAUUAUUGUCAUCAGACUAAGCAUGUGAGAGAGCAAUGUUUCAAGCUCAAUGGUUAUCCACCUUGGUGGCCUGGCAAGAAGGGUGAAAAAGCUGAAGGCAGCAAGGGAGGAGGUGGAAAAGGGGGCCGUUCCAGCUCCAGAGCCUACCACACAUCUUCUAGUGAUCAGAAUGACCAACCUACCUCUCAGCUCUCUUCUGCUCAAAUGGAACAAAUCGUUCAAGAGUGUGCUCGCUUGCUCUCUGAUAAAGGAUCUAAAGGGGCUUCCGGUUCCUUAGCCACCUCAUCA
This 1128-nucleotide long non-coding RNA is filed under the name Prunus dulcis (almond). RNAcentral describes it as "sRNA ncRNA". The record is from RNAcentral. Lineage: Eukaryota; Viridiplantae; Streptophyta; Magnoliopsida; Rosales; Rosaceae.